RNAcentral lists this long non-coding RNA (311 nucleotides) under Ananas comosus (pineapple). RNAcentral describes it as "long non-coding RNA (ACOM_LNC013829)". The record is from RNAcentral. Lineage: Eukaryota; Viridiplantae; Streptophyta; Magnoliopsida; Poales; Bromeliaceae.
AAUUAUUAAUAAUUAAUUAUAAAUAAUAAAUUAUUUAAUUAUUUAAUUAUUAAAAUAAUAAAUAAUAAUUUAAAUAUAUUAAUCAGAUUAAUUAAUAAUUUACUGCCAUUAAAAUUAAAUUUAGAUUUUAAUUAAUCUUGUUCUCAUCCAAGAACAAUCUUGUUUCAGGAAACGGGUGGAACAGCAGUUCCAGUCUUAUACCAGCUACUUCCAGAUUUCCGGAAACUACUGUUCCCGGGAGCCAAACAUACCGUUUGGGAACAAAGGGGGGAACAAGGGCUUAUUCCCCCCUUGUUCCCCAACCAAACGCC